GCGGGAGUAGCUCAGCGGUAGAGCAUCUGCCUUCCAAGCAGAGGGUCGCCGGUUCGAUCCCGGUCUCCCGCUCCA
RNAcentral lists this transfer RNA (75 nucleotides) under Chloroflexota bacterium. RNAcentral describes it as "Chloroflexi bacterium tRNA-Gly". It matches the Rfam family "tRNA". Rfam says of the family: Transfer RNA (tRNA) molecules are approximately 80 nucleotides in length. The record is from RNAcentral. RNAcentral also lists the same sequence under 2 other names. Lineage: Bacteria; Bacillati; Chloroflexota.